RNAcentral lists this ribosomal RNA (497 nucleotides) under uncultured bacterium. RNAcentral describes it as "partial 16S ribosomal RNA". It matches the Rfam family "Bacterial small subunit ribosomal RNA", at positions 28 to 507 of the family's 1533-position model. The record is from RNAcentral.
GAUGAACGCUGGCGGCGUGCCUAAUACAUGCAAGUCGAGCGAACGGACGAGAAGCUUGCUUCUCUGACGUUAGCGGCGGACGGGUGAGUAACACGUGGAUAACCUACCUAUAAGACUGGGAUAACUUCGGGAAACCGGAGCUAAUACCGGAUAAUAUUUUGAACCGCAUGGUUCAAUAGUGAAAGACGGUCUUGCUGUCACUUAUAGAUGGAUCCGCGCUGCAUUAGCUAGUUGGUAAGGUAACGGCUUACCAAGGCAACGAUGCAUAGCCGACCUGAGAGGGUGAUCGGCCACACUGGAACUGAGACACGGUCCAGACUCCUACGGGAGGCAGCAGUAGGGAAUCUUCCGCAAUGGGCGAAAGCCUGACGGAGCAACGCCGCGUGAGUGAUGAAGGUCUUCGGAUCGUAAAACUCUGUUAUUAGGGAAGAACAUAUGUGUAAGUAACUGUGCACAUCUUGACGGUACCUAAUCAGAAAGCCACGGCUAACUACGUG